GCCCAGACUCCUACGGGAGGCAGCAGUGGGGAAUAUUGCACAAUGGAGGAAACUCUGGCCCAGCAACGCCGCGUGAAUGAUGAAGGUCUUCGGAUUGUAAAGUUCUUUUCUAAGGGAAGAAGAAAGUGACGGUACCUUAGGAAUAAGCCUCGGCUAACUACGUGCCAGCAGCCGCGGUAAUACGUAGGGGGCAAGCGUUAUCCGGAUUUACUGGGUGUAAAGGGAGCGUAGACGGCACUGCAAGUCCGGAGUGAAAGCCCAAGGCUUAACCAUGGGACUGCUCUGGAAACUGUGGAGCUUGAGUGCGGGAGGGGCAGGCGGAAUUCCUAGUGUAGCGGUGAAAUGCGUAGAUAUUAGGAGGAACACCGGCGGCGAAGGCGGCCUGCUGGACCGUAACUGACGUUGAGGCUCGAAAGCGUGGGGAGCAAACAGGAUUAGAUACCCGAGUAG
This 450-nucleotide ribosomal RNA is filed under the name uncultured bacterium. Its description in RNAcentral is "bacterial SSU rRNA". It matches the Rfam family "Bacterial small subunit ribosomal RNA", at positions 329 to 793 of the family's 1533-position model. The record is from RNAcentral.